This 820-nucleotide small RNA is filed under the name Pan troglodytes (chimpanzee). RNAcentral's name for it is "retained intron". Lineage: Eukaryota; Metazoa; Chordata; Mammalia; Primates; Hominidae. The record is from RNAcentral.
UGCAGUUGAGGGCAGCUCAGGGCAAUGAGGCAAAUGGCUCCAAAUGGAGAGGGGGCUCAUGGGGUGGCUCUCCAGGGUCCUGGCUCUCAGAGGAAGUGCAGCUUUGACAGGGACAGGGGUCACUUGGCUCUGCUAUCCCCUAGAUCCGAGGGAAGGGCUUCGACUGGCCGCUGCUGGUGAAGGACUUCAACCUGCUUCGCUGGCUUGGUGCCAACGCUUUCCGUACCAGCCACUACCCCUAUGCAGAGGAAGUGAUGCAGAUGUGUGACCGCUAUGGGAUUGUGGUCAUCGAUGAGUGUCCCGGCGUGGGCCUGGCGCUGCCGUGAUGGAAGAAGUGGUGCGUAGGGACAAGAACCACCCCGCGGUCGUGAUGUGGUCUGUGGCCAACGAGCCUGCGUCCCACCUAGAAUCUGCUGGCUACUACUUGAAGAUGGUGAUCGCUCACACCAAAGCCUUGGACCCCUCCCGGCCUGUGACCUUUGUGAGCAACUCUAACUAUGCAGCAGACAAGGGGGCUCCGUAUGUGGAUGUGAUCUGUUUGAACAGCUACUACUCUUGGUAUCACGACUACGGGCACCUGGAGUUGAUUCAGCUGCAGCUGGCCACCCAGUUUGAGAACUGGUAUAAGAAGUAUCAGAAGCCCAUUAUUCAGAGCGAGUAUGGAGCAGAAACGAUUGCAGGGUUUCACCAGGAUCCACCUCUGAUGUUCACUGAAGAGUACCAGAAAAGUCUGCUAGAGCAGUACCAUCUGGGUCUGGAUCAAAAACGCAGAAAAUACGUGGUUGGAGAGCUCAUUUGGAAUUUUGCCGAUUUCAUGACU